RNAcentral lists this non-coding RNA (148 nucleotides) under Homo sapiens (human). Lineage: Eukaryota; Metazoa; Chordata; Mammalia; Primates; Hominidae. The record is from Rfam by way of RNAcentral.
GCCGGGCGUGGUGGCGCAUGCCUGUAAUCCCAGCUACUUGGGAGGCUGAGGCAGGAGAAUCGCUUGAGCCCGGGAAGCGGAGGUUGCAGUGAGUCAAGAUCACGCAAUUGCACUCCAGCCUGGGCGACCGAGUGAGACCUUGUCUCAA